AGCGAACGCUGGCGGCAGGCCUAACACAUGCAAGUCGAACGAACCUUUCGGGGUUAGUGGCGGACGGGUGAGUAACACGUGGGAACGUGCCUUUAGGUUCGGAAUAACUCAGGGAAACUUGUGCUAAUACCGAAUGUGCCCUUCGGGGGAAAGAUUUAUCGCCUUUAGAGCGGCCCGCGUCUGAUUAGCUAGUUGGUUGAGGUAAUGGCUCACCAAGGCGACGAUCAGUAGCUGGUCUGAGAGGAUGAUCAGCCACAUUGGGACUGAGACACGGCCCAAACUCCUACGGGAGGCAGCAGUGGGGAAUCUUGCGCAAUGGGCGAAAGCCUGACGCAGCCAUGCGGGGUGAAUGAUGAAGGUCUUAGGAUUGUAAAAUUCUUUCACCGGGGACGAUAAUGACGGUACCCGGAGAAGAAGCCCCGGCUAACUUCGUG
Molecule: ribosomal RNA, 434 nt
Filed under: uncultured bacterium
Lineage: Bacteria
Description: partial 16S ribosomal RNA
Rfam family: Bacterial small subunit ribosomal RNA
Source: RNAcentral